GACGAACGCGGCGGCGUGCCUAAUACAUGCAAGUAGAACGCUGAAGGAGGAGCUUGCUUCUCUGGAUGAGUUGCGAACGGGUGAGUAACGCGUAGGUAACCUGCCUGGUAGCGUGGGAUAACUAUUGGAAACGAUAGCUAAUACCGCAUAAUAUUGAUUAUUGCAUGAUAGUCAAUUAAAAGGUGCAAUUGCACCACUACCAGAUGGACCUGCGUUGUAUUAGCUAGUUGGUGGGGUAACGGCUCACCAAGGCGACGAUACAUAGCCGACCUGAGAGGGUGAUCGGCCUCACUGGGACUGAGACACGGCCCAGACUCCUACGGGAGGCAGCAGUAGGGAAUCUUCGGCAAUGGACGGAAGUCUGACCGAGCAACGCCGCGUGAGUGAAGAAGGUUUUCGGAUCGUAAAGCUCUGUUGUAAGAGAAGAACGAGUGUGAGAGUGGAAAGUCACACUGUGACGUAUCUACCAGAAAGACGCA
This 479-nucleotide ribosomal RNA is filed under the name Streptococcus sp. oral taxon 058. Its description in RNAcentral is "bacterial SSU rRNA". It matches the Rfam family "Bacterial small subunit ribosomal RNA", at positions 28 to 495 of the family's 1533-position model. Lineage: Bacteria; Bacillati; Bacillota; Bacilli; Lactobacillales; Streptococcaceae. The record is from RNAcentral.